UACGUUGGUGGCAAGCGUUGUCCGGAUUUAUUGGGUUUAAAGGGUGCGUAGGCGGUUCCAUAAGUCAGUGGUGAAAUACGGCAGCUCAACUGUCGAGGUGCCAUUGAUACUGCGGAACUUGAGUACUGAUGAGGUAGGCGGAAUUGACGGUGUAGCGGUGAAAUGCUUAGAUAUCGUCAAGAACACCGAUAGCGAAGGCAGCUUACCAAGCAGUAACUGACGCUGAGGCACGAAAGUGCGGGGAUCAAACAGG
This 253-nucleotide ribosomal RNA is filed under the name uncultured bacterium. RNAcentral's name for it is "partial 16S ribosomal RNA". It matches the Rfam family "Bacterial small subunit ribosomal RNA", at positions 524 to 776 of the family's 1533-position model. The record is from RNAcentral.